RNAcentral lists this ribosomal RNA (180 nucleotides) under uncultured bacterium. RNAcentral's name for it is "partial 16S ribosomal RNA". It matches the Rfam family "Bacterial small subunit ribosomal RNA", at positions 1320 to 1500 of the family's 1533-position model. The record is from RNAcentral.
AUGAAGCUGGAAUCGCUAGUAAUCGCAGAUCAGAAUGCUGCGGUGAAUACGUUCCCGGGUCUUGUACACACCGCCCGUCACACCAUGGAGUUGGAAAUGCCCGAAGCCAGUGACCCAACCGUAAGGAGGGAGCUGUCGAAGGUGGAGCCGAUGACUGGGGUGAAGUCGUAACAAGGUACC